ACGAACGCUGGCGGCAUGCCUAACACAUGCAAGUCGAACGAGACCUUCGGGUCUAGUGGCGCACGGGUGCGUAACGCGUGAGAACCUGCCCUUAGGCUCGGAAUAACUCCCCGAAAGGGGUGCUAAUACCGGAUAAUGUCUUCGGACCAAAGAUUUAUCGCCUUUGGAUGGGCCCGCGUUGGAUUAGCUAGUUGGUAGGGUAAAAGCCUACCAAGGCGACGAUCCAUAGCUGGUCUGAGAGGAUGAUCAGCCACACUGGGACUGAGACACGGCCCAGACUCCUACGGGAGGCAGCAGUGGGGAAUAUUGGACAAUGGGCGAAAGCCUGAUCCAGCAAUGCCGCGUGAGUGAUGAAGGCCUUAGGGUUGUAAAGCUCUUUUACCCGGGAUGAUAAUGACAGUACCGGGAGAAUAAGCGCCGGCUAACUCCGUG
RNAcentral lists this ribosomal RNA (432 nucleotides) under uncultured bacterium. Its description in RNAcentral is "partial 16S ribosomal RNA". It matches the Rfam family "Bacterial small subunit ribosomal RNA", at positions 29 to 507 of the family's 1533-position model. The record is from RNAcentral.